UACGUAGGUGGCUAGCGUUGUCCGGAUUUACUGGGCGUAAAGCGUGCGCAGGCGGUUUUGUAAGCCAGAUGUGAAAUCCCCGGGCUUAACCUGGGAAUGGCAUUUGGGACUGCAAGGCUCGAGUGCGGCAGAGGAGACUGGAAUUCCUGGUGUAGCAGUGAAAUGCGUAGAUAUCAGGAGGAACACCGAUGGCGAAGGCAGGUCUCUGGGCUGACACUGACGCUCAUGCACGAAAGCGUGGGGAGCAAACAGG
RNAcentral lists this ribosomal RNA (253 nucleotides) under uncultured bacterium. RNAcentral's name for it is "partial 16S ribosomal RNA". It matches the Rfam family "Bacterial small subunit ribosomal RNA", at positions 524 to 776 of the family's 1533-position model. The record is from RNAcentral.